AAGGAUUUAAGUUAAUUUAAACUAAUAACCUUCAAAGUUGUAAAUAGAUUUGUCUAAGCCUUG
This 63-nucleotide transfer RNA is filed under the name Tenebrionoidea sp. 8 KM-2017. RNAcentral describes it as "tRNA-Trp". Lineage: Eukaryota; Metazoa; Arthropoda; Insecta; Coleoptera. The record is from RNAcentral.